Long non-coding RNA from Rhincodon typus (whale shark), 900 nucleotides. RefSeq lists it as uncharacterized. The record is from RefSeq and is a predicted model, not a curated record. NCBI's taxonomy places the organism in Eukaryota, Metazoa, Chordata, Chondrichthyes, Orectolobiformes, Rhincodontidae. The transcript has 3 exons.
CACAAACCCCACCAUGGGGUCUUCCAGCUAAAAAUCAAAGGGCAUCAACUGUACAGAACACAUAGGGCAACCAGGCUAUUAGAGAAGCAUCCCAGUGGAAAAUUCGCAUUGUCCAAGCCAGCCACUUUUCGAGUCUCCGUGGUAGCUGCAGCAUUUGGUGUCCAAGUGUUUUAAUUGGACAACUAGUACACCAACUAAUUCCAUGUUGAGCCCUGACAGAGACAUAAGAGAGCCAGAGGCCCAACGCUGACACAGAACUGUGCGAUGCAAACAGGAGGUGGGACAGAUACUGGUAGGAGUUAACGGUGUGCAGAAUUUUGUAAGCAGCAAAGCAACUUCGACUUAAGUUGAUUGGUUGAAGGUCAAAAGUUUGGGGAAACUAUUCUUCGAAGCAGCUCAUUCCCUCAGGGCCCAAACUUUGUUCGGGACAUACCUCAAUGUUUCAGAUCCGCCAGACCCACUGAGUUUCCCCAGCACUUUGUUUUUAGAGUAAUCUACUUAGUUGUCUGAAACCAUGACUGAGAAAGUUCCGAACUACCUUCUCAACGUAAUUAAGGAUGGGCGAUAAAUCCAAGGAAAGAAGAUUAAUGACCGUCUGAUAGUGGUGAUGUAAAGCACUGUCCUGUGUGUGACGUCAUGGUGAAAUAACUGGCCUGUCAGUAACCAUCCUUUCAUUUAUGAGGAAAGUUUCCAACAGCAUGGCUUAUGGAAAUAGCUCUGGAUAAAUGUAUCUUCGGAAAAGCUGACGUGAAUCGUUUCCAGGACUUGUCAAGUUGGCAUGCAUGAAUACUAUGUGACACCAGAAAUGGAGAGCCAGUUGCUCGGCUUGUAAUGGAAUAGAAGUGCACGUGACAUCACAGGGAGGUGUAGUUAAAUAAUUACAAUACAUAAAGAUUCAAU